GACGGAGGAUGCAAGCGUUAUCCGGAAUUAUUGGGCGUAAAGCGUCCGCAGGUGGCUGUUCAAGUCUGCUGUCAAAGCGCAGAGCUUAACUCUGUACAGGCGGUGGAAACUGAAGAGCUAGAGUAUGGUAGGGGUAGAGGGAAUUCACGGUGUAGCGGUGAAAUGCGUAGAUAUCGGGAAGAACACCAGUGGCGAAAGCGCUCUACUGGGCCAUAACUGACACUGAGGGACGAAAGCUAGGGGAGCGAAAGGG
This 253-nucleotide ribosomal RNA is filed under the name uncultured bacterium. RNAcentral describes it as "partial 16S ribosomal RNA". It matches the Rfam family "Bacterial small subunit ribosomal RNA", at positions 524 to 776 of the family's 1533-position model. The record is from RNAcentral.